AAACUGGAGAGUUUGAUCCUGGCUCAGAACAAACGCUGGCGGCGUGCCUAACACAUGCAAGUCGUACGAGAAAGGGUCCUUCGGGAUCUGAGUAAAGUGGCGCACGGGUGAGUAACGCGUGGAUAAUCUGCCCCUCAGUUGGGAAUAACUCAUCGAAAGGUGGGCUAAUACCGAAUAAUACUGUGAGACUUUGGUCGAUCAGUCAAAGAGAGCCUCUGCUUGCAAGCCCUCGCUGAAGGAUGAGUCCGCGUACCAUUAGCUUGUUGGUAGGGUAAUGGCCUACCAAGGCGACGAUGGUUAGCUGGUCUGAGAGGAUGAUCAGCCACACUGGAACUGAGACACGGUCCAGACUCCUACGGGAGGCAGCAGUGAGGAAU
This 377-nucleotide ribosomal RNA is filed under the name Syntrophales bacterium. Its description in RNAcentral is "bacterial SSU rRNA". It matches the Rfam family "Bacterial small subunit ribosomal RNA", at positions 1 to 362 of the family's 1533-position model. Lineage: Bacteria; Pseudomonadati; Thermodesulfobacteriota; Syntrophia; Syntrophales. The record is from RNAcentral.